GCUGUGAUGGCCGAGUGGUUAAGGCGUUGGACUUGAAAUCAAAUGGGGUAUCCGCACACAGGUUCAAAUCCUGUUCAUAGCG
Molecule: transfer RNA, 82 nt
Filed under: Pelobates cultripes (western spadefoot toad)
Lineage: Eukaryota; Metazoa; Chordata; Amphibia; Anura; Pelobatidae
Description: tRNA.Ser
Rfam family: tRNA
About the family: Transfer RNA (tRNA) molecules are approximately 80 nucleotides in length. Their secondary structure includes four short double-helical elements and three loops (D, anti-codon, and T loops).
Source: RNAcentral